GGUAUUUUAAUGCUCUUCAAUAAUAUGUGAUGAAUUUUUUCAAAUCAUAUAUGGUUCGUACAUGAAUCACAAGAGUUUUCAGAAACCUAGCUGUAGAGUAAAAUGGCCACUAAUGGCUGUAAUACCUGCAUGCUGUUAUUCUUUCAAAAAUCAUGAACUUUUUUUGUUUCAAUCUUAUUCUACCCUUCUUAUUGUGUUUCUUUUAUGUUCAGGUCACAUGUUACCAAGAAAACAGAGGACUAGGGACAACUGGAGUCGGAGAAUAUGAGUUUGGCAAGGGCAAUGAAAAAAAUAAGCAUUUAAGCAAAAGGGCAAUGAAAAAAGAG
This 326-nucleotide long non-coding RNA is filed under the name Androctonus crassicauda. The record is from RNAcentral. Lineage: Eukaryota; Metazoa; Arthropoda; Arachnida; Scorpiones; Buthidae.